ACGAACGCUUGCGGCGUGCCUAAUACAUGCAAGUCGAACGAGAGCGACCGGUGCUUGCACUGGUCAAUCUAGUGGCGAACGGGUGAGUAACACGUGGGUAACCUGCUCAUCAGAGGGGGAUAACAUCCGGAAACGGAUGCUAAAACCGCAUAGGUCUUCGAGCCGCAUGGCUUGAAGAGGAAAAGAGGCGCAAGCUUCUGCUGAUGGAUGGACCCGCGGUGCAUUAGCUAGUUGGUGAGGUAACGGCUCACCAAGGCCGUGAUGCAUAGCCGACCUGAGAGGGUGAUCGGCCACAUUGGGACUGAGACACGGCCCAAACUCCUACGGGAGGCAGCAGUAGGGAAUCUUCCGCAAUGGACGCAAGUCUGACGGAGCAACGCCGCGUGAGUGAAGAAGGUUUUCGGAUCGUAAAACUCUGUUGUUAGAGAAGAACAAGUGCUAGAGUAACUGUUAGCGCCUUGACGGUAUCUAACCAGAAAGCCACGGCUAACUACGUG
This 497-nucleotide ribosomal RNA is filed under the name uncultured bacterium. Its description in RNAcentral is "partial 16S ribosomal RNA". It matches the Rfam family "Bacterial small subunit ribosomal RNA", at positions 29 to 507 of the family's 1533-position model. The record is from RNAcentral.